AGUUGCUCUGAACCACUUGGUCUUAAAUCACAAGUUGAAUUUCCGUCUUGCUGAUAAACACCUGGGGUAGCCUUAGCAGAGCAAAUGAGGCAUGGAGGCUGGUGUCAGCCUCCUUCCAUUGUCCAUUGGUACUGACCUUCAUCACCAAUUAGCUAGGAAAUUGGCCUAACUUAAGGCAUCAAAACAUUGAGACAUCUUGUAAUUUUCCAUUUACCUAAAUUAGCACCAUGAUGUCUACGAUUCCAAAGAAAAUCUCCCCUGUAAGCUUGCAACUUUGCUCCUAAUGAAAUAACCUGUUGAGUGAGCAGCAGACCAGUCCUAGAGCUCUUUGUUUGAAGCUCUAAGGCAGCAUGCAUUCUUCCUUUCUUAGGUUCUGUCAUCACUAAACUGAUAUUAUCACAACGGAUUCCAAACCAAAUGCAGAAUGGCCACAAAAGAGGAAUAAAAAGAAAUCAUAUUUCAUAUGACAUGCGCACCAAAAGGCUGAAAAAUGAAAGAAAAAAAAAAAGAAAAACUAUGGUUUCAGGUAACAGGGAAGCAAAGUGGUCAUCAUUAGGGAAAUAAGAGUAGGGGGGAAUGCUUGACAAUAAAUAACUGAAGAAAAGAAUAAUGAUACAGCAUACUACAGUUAAGAACCAUAUUGACACAGGCAUCAAUGGAACUCUAGUAACAUGUAAAGUACGGGCAAAUAAGAAAACAAGG
This 702-nucleotide long non-coding RNA is filed under the name Phoenix dactylifera (date palm). RNAcentral describes it as "long non-coding RNA (PDAC_LNC017650)". Lineage: Eukaryota; Viridiplantae; Streptophyta; Magnoliopsida; Arecales; Arecaceae. The record is from RNAcentral.